AGGUCUUUUUGAAGAUGGCUCAUGAGGCUUUAGAAGUAGGAGCUCUUAACUCUAUGACCUUGAAAUUUUUCAUAAAAUGCUAUAUUCACUCAAUAAUGUGAAGUUUUUAUGAGGAGAUAUAAGA
This is a small nucleolar RNA of Capra hircus (goat), 124 nucleotides long. The record is from Ensembl. Lineage: Eukaryota; Metazoa; Chordata; Mammalia; Artiodactyla; Bovidae.